This 413-nucleotide ribosomal RNA is filed under the name uncultured bacterium. RNAcentral's name for it is "bacterial SSU rRNA". It matches the Rfam family "Bacterial small subunit ribosomal RNA", at positions 505 to 916 of the family's 1533-position model. The record is from RNAcentral.
GUGCCAGCCGCCGCGGUAACACGUAGGAGGCGAACGUUAUCCGGAUUUACUGGGCGUAAAGCGCGUGUAGGUGGUUUGGUAAGUAGGGCGUGAAAGCUCCCGGCUCAACUGGGAGAGGCCGUUCUAAACUGCCAAGCUAGAGGAUGGUAGAGGGAGGUGGAAUUCCGGGUGUAGCGGUGGAAUGCGCAGAUAUCCGGAGGAACACCAGUGGCGAAGGCGGCCUCCUGGGCCACUCCUGACACUCAGACGCGAAAGCUAGGGUAGCAAACGGGAUUAGAGACCCCGGUAGUCCUAGCCCUAAACGAUGUAGACUUGGCGUCGGUGGUUUAAACGCCAUCGGUGUCGCAGCUAACGCGAUAAGUCUACCGCCUGGGGACUACGGCCGCAAGGUUAAAACUCAAAUAAAUUGACGG